GCUGGUGGCAUCAUUGGUGGGUGGCCUCUCUAGAAUAUGGAGAAGGAAAGGACCUUGCUACUCAAUGUCAACAAUAGGGGAUUGUCUCUCUUUAGAUAUCGAUUGUAAGUGAUCCUGUUAUCUUGCGGGUUUCAGCCAGCGGG
This is a long non-coding RNA of Octopus sinensis (East Asian common octopus), 143 nucleotides long. RefSeq lists it as uncharacterized. The record is from RefSeq and is a predicted model, not a curated record. Lineage: Eukaryota; Metazoa; Mollusca; Cephalopoda; Octopoda; Octopodidae. The transcript is spliced from 3 exons.